UAUGUGAUCGUCUCUCGCAUAUCAAUAAGCGGAGGAAAAGAAACUAACAAGGAUUCCCCUAGUAACGGCGAGUGAAGCGGGAAGAGCUCAAAUUUGAAAUCUAGUAGCCUUCGGCUGCUCGAGUUGUAAUCUAGAGAAGUGUUUUCCGUGCCGGCCCAUGUACAAGUCCCUUGGAACAGGGCGUCAUAGAGGGUGAGAAUCCCGUCCUUGACAUGGACCCCAGGUGCUCUGUGAUACACUUUCAACGAGUCGGAUUGUUUGGGAAUGCAGUCCAAAAUGGGUGGUAAAUUUCAUCUAAAGCUAAAUAUUGGCGAGAGACCGAUAGCGAACAAGUACCGUGAGGGAAAGAUGAAAAGAACUUUGAAAAGAGAGUUAAACAGUACGUGAAAUUGUCAAAAGGGAAGCGUUUGACACCAGUGUUGUUUUUCUGAAAAUCAAUUAAAGAACUGUUUAUGCUAAGCUGUUUAGACUUUAUCAGCUAAUCUGUUUAGUUUUGAGCUUUUCUUUAAUGCACUUUUCAGUUAACAAGUCAACAUCAAUUUCUUUUGCUGUAAAAAAGCUUGAGGAAGGUGGCUUGAGAUUCGUCUUAAGUGUUUAUAGCCUCUUGCCUAUGCAGUCGGAGAGAUUGAGGUCUGCAGCGUAGAUCCUUCGGGGCUAAAUGCAUUUGUGCUAAGUUAUAACAUUUUAUAGACAACUUGUUGACUAUGAUUUGUCUUGUAGCUUACUCGCUUAUGUUAUUUUACCUACGCUUAGGAUGUUGAAGAUAUGCGCGACACG
Molecule: ribosomal RNA, 777 nt
Filed under: uncultured Neocallimastigales
Lineage: Eukaryota; Fungi; Neocallimastigomycota; Neocallimastigomycetes; Neocallimastigales
Description: partial large subunit ribosomal RNA
Rfam family: Eukaryotic large subunit ribosomal RNA
Source: RNAcentral